GCCGAUGUAGCUCAGAAGGCAGAGCACUUCCAUGGUAAGGAAGGGGUCGCCGGUUCGACUCCGGCCAUCGGCUCCA
Molecule: transfer RNA, 76 nt
Filed under: Bacillota bacterium
Lineage: Bacteria; Bacillati; Bacillota
Also listed under: 1 other name
Description: Firmicutes bacterium (anaerobic digester metagenome) tRNA-Thr
Rfam family: tRNA
About the family: Transfer RNA (tRNA) molecules are approximately 80 nucleotides in length.
Source: RNAcentral